This 912-nucleotide ribosomal RNA is filed under the name uncultured archaeon. RNAcentral describes it as "bacterial SSU rRNA". It matches the Rfam family "Archaeal small subunit ribosomal RNA", at positions 1 to 922 of the family's 1478-position model. The record is from RNAcentral.
UUCCGGUUGAUCCUGCCGGAGGCUACCGCUAUUGGAGUUCGAUUAAGCCAUGCGAGUCUAGAGGCCUAGCCUCGGCGUACCGCUCAGUAACACGUGGGUAACCUACCCUAUGCUGGGGAAUAAGCUCGGGAAACUGAGAAUAAUACCCCAUAGUCCACUACGCCUGGAACGGUGAGUGGAUCAAAGCUCCGGCGGCAUAGGAUGGGCCUGCGGCGUAUCAGGUUGUAGGGGGUGUAAUGUACCCUCUAGCCAUCCACGCGUACGGGUGUUGGGAGACAUUGCCCGGAGAUGGAUUCUGAGACACGAAUCCAGACCCUACGGGGUGCGGCAGGCGCGAAAACUUGGCAAUGCGAGAAAUCGUGACCAGGGAACUCCAAGUGGCAGGGGUAAGACCCUGUCUUUUUCCGACUCUAAAUAGGUCGGCGAAUAAGGGGUGGGUAAGGACGGUGCCAGCCGCCGCGGUAAUACCGGCGCCUCAAGUGGUAGUCGCUUUUAUUGGGCCUAAAACGUCCGUAGCCGGUCUGGUACAUUCGUGGGUAAAUCAACUCGCUUAACGAGUUGAAUUCUGCGAGGACGGCCAGACUUGGGACCGGGAGAGGUGUGGGGUACUCUCAGGGUAGGGGUAAAAUCCUGUCAUCCUGAGAGGACCACCUGUUGCGAAGGCUCCACACUAGAACGGAUCCGACGGUCAGGGACGAAGCCUAGGGGCACGAACCGGAUUAGAUACCCGGGUAGUCCUAGGUGUAAACGCUGUGGACUUGAUGUUGGGGACGCUCCGAGCGUUCUCAGUGUCGAAGCGAAGGUGAUAAGUCCACUGCCUGGGGAGUACGGUCGCAUGGCUGAAACUUAAAGGAAUUGGCGGGGGAGCACCGCAACCUGAGGAUUGUGCGGUUUAAUUGGAUCAACGCCGGA